CUCAGAGUUGCCAACUUUGAGUUGGUCAAAAGUUAUACUAUUAGUUUUCGUUGAAAGUUAUUGGGGAAGUUAGUAGGGAUAAAUAGUUAUUUAUGGAGUAAAUAAUUUUGUAUUUUUAAGAGGGUGUAGGAUUUUGGAGCAACUUUGUUGAAAUUGACGUUAUUAUUAUUAGGGAAAUUCUACACUACACCCCUCAGGUGUUGGCUUUUCCAAGCUGUGCCCCUCACUUUGAAAAGUUCCACGCUGUAACCUGUAGGUCCCACAAGUGAUUACGCUGUAACAUUACUUAGUCACCAUAAAUGAUGGACGUCAGAGAUAGUUAAUGCCGUCACCUAACUUUUGUACUUUCCCUCUAUUUUCAUUUAAUUCCCUCCCAUUUUGUUUCAUUCAUUCAUUCUGAUCAAAAAAAAAAAAACCCUAAAUUCGAAAAUUCGAAGAGUGAUUUGCGAACUGGAGAAACUUUGCUGGGUAAAUUCGAAGAGCGAUUUUGAAGUGGGUGAAGUUUCUGGUGAUUUCUGCGUAAAAGGACUUCGAAGAUGGAUGAGAGAAUUCUAAAAAUCCAUUAUGGUGCUAAUUGUGUUCGUGUAAAGGUUGAUGAUAUAGAUAGAUGUUUGUUAAUUGAUGUGAUUAAUGAGAUGUGUGAGGAGUUUAAAAAGAGUAAAUUUGAGUUGCCAACAUACCCUGGGUUGCACUAUGUGGAAAACAGAGUUGAAGAAGGGUUAUUUAAGGAGGAAGGGUUAUUUAAGUUGCCAAAAAAAAUUUACUCUUUGAAGAAGGGUUAUUUAAGGAGGAAGGUGGAGUACUCUGUUUGUGGAGGGUAAUUUUCCCACCAAAAUUAACCCCUUCCAACGUUAUUUUGUUGGAAAGGGAAAACUAACGGAAAGUUGUAACGGAGAGAUAACGGCAAGGGUACAGCGUAAUCACUUGUGUGACCUACAGGUUACAGCGUGGAACUUUUCAAAGUGAGGGGCACAGCUUGGAAAAGCCAACACCUGAGGGGUAUAGUAUAGAAUUUCCCUUAUUAUUAAUACUCCUUAUUUGUUUGAGCACGAGGGGGACAACACUGGUCAAAGGUUUUCUUGAUCAGCAAUUCAACAUAUACAAGUAUAAACUUUUUUGUUUCUACUACUCCGUACUUUUUUAAAGCAACUCCAAUGGUAAGUUAAUUGUGAAAUUAGCUUGCCAUGCCACCUAGGAUUGCAAAGCUAAUCUACCUUGUAGCUAAUUAAUCCCACAAUAGUUAAGCUCAUUUUUAAUAAUUUUUUUUAUGUAUUUAAUUUUUUUUAAUUCCCACAAUUUGCUAAGCUAAUUAGCUUAGCUAAGCGAAUAGCUUUGCCCAACUAAUUUGGUAAUGCAAUUCCAAUGAUUAAGCUAAUUAUUUAUUAGUUUCAUAAAUUGCAAGCUAGUCCUAAUUUUACAGCUCACAGCUCGGAUCGAAGUGGACCUGUAAGAGAUUCUAAUCCGAUAGGACCUUUCUCCUUGACCCAAAAAAAAAAAAAAAAAUAGUAAGACUUUGACUACUUU
This is a long non-coding RNA of Chenopodium quinoa (quinoa), 1524 nucleotides long. RefSeq lists it as uncharacterized. The transcript has 2 exons. Lineage: Eukaryota; Viridiplantae; Streptophyta; Magnoliopsida; Caryophyllales; Amaranthaceae. The record is from RefSeq and is a predicted model, not a curated record.